This 130-nucleotide transfer RNA is filed under the name Nanobdellota archaeon. Its description in RNAcentral is "tRNA-Gly". The record is from RNAcentral. Lineage: Archaea; Nanobdellati; Nanobdellota.
GCACCGGUAGUCUAAUGGCUAGGAGUACUUAGUGCUUAGGCACAGGGACUAGUAAAUAGAGGCCUUCCAAGCCUUUGAUCCGGGAAAUGUUUGGAGCUAGCAUUCGGAUAUUCGAAUCCCGGCCGGUGCA